Molecule: long non-coding RNA, 624 nt
Filed under: Microcebus murinus (gray mouse lemur)
Lineage: Eukaryota; Metazoa; Chordata; Mammalia; Primates; Cheirogaleidae
Description: lncRNA (ENSMICG00000048297.1)
Source: RNAcentral
AUGGAAACGAUGCGCUUUGAAAGUUCCAAAGAGAUUUUUUUUAAGCAUGCCUGUCAGGAAGCACAUAAAUACCACAAAAGGAAACCCAUUCGUCUCCAAACACGAUUUACCAAGGACCAGGGAGCCCUGAGCUUUUUCCCCUCACGCAGCGUCUCCGUGGCAGCUCCCGAGUUGCGCUCUCGGAGGCGGCAACCCCACUUUUCUUCCGUCUCCCAGUCACAGACGGGACAACGUGCAGCUGCCGCCACCGGCCAGGCCGCUGUCACCGCUGUCACCGCCGCCGCCGCUGCUUCUAAAUCAGAGCCGCUACUGCAAAGAAAGGGUUACUCCUCUCUCCAGUCAAGUGGCUGCAAACUUCCCCUGCUCUCCUUGUGCCAUAUUUCUGCAAACUUGGACGUCCUUCCGUGCGGAAGGACCACGGAAAGCCAUCACGAGCGUCACAGGGAGCAUAAUAAAGGGCACCCCGGAAGAAUAUCAUUCCUGUCUGGACGGAACUUCUGGAUUUUCUUCAGUGUCUCAGCAGUCUUGUGACUAUGCCUGAGGAAAUGAAACGAGUAACAGGUAUGAUCUAGCAUCUAUGCCUUCUUUUUGUCAACAUGGUUUUUAAUCAUCUCUCUGUGUCCC